GAUCAUGGCUACAGGACGAACGCUGGCGGCAUGCCUAAUACAUGCAAGUCGAACGAACACUUCGGUGUUAGUGGCGAACGGGUGAGUAACACGUAAGUAACCAAGCUAUUAGACGAGGAUAACUACUGGAAACGGUAGCUAAUACUGGAUAGGACGGAAGUUUAAAGAUCCUUUGGGGGAUUACUAAUGGAUGGGCUUGCGGCGCAUUAGCUAGUUGGUAGGGUAAAGGCCUACCAAGGCAACGAUGCGUAGCCGACCUGAGAGGGUGAACGGCCACACUGGGACUGAGACACGGCCCAGACUCCUACGGGAGGCAGCAGUAGGGAAUCUUCGGCAAUGGACGGAAGUCUGACCGAGCAAUGCCGCGUGAGUGAAGAAGGUCUUCGGAUCGUAAAGCUCUGUUAUUAGGGAAGAAAAGUAGUAAGAGGAAAUGCUUAUUAUGUGACGGUACCUAAUGACGAAAGCCACGGCUAACUACGUGCCAGCCGCCGC
RNAcentral lists this ribosomal RNA (492 nucleotides) under uncultured bacterium. RNAcentral describes it as "bacterial SSU rRNA". It matches the Rfam family "Bacterial small subunit ribosomal RNA", at positions 15 to 518 of the family's 1533-position model. The record is from RNAcentral.